Molecule: small nuclear RNA, 123 nt
Organism: Anolis carolinensis (green anole)
Lineage: Eukaryota; Metazoa; Chordata; Lepidosauria; Squamata; Anolidae
Gene: U2
Rfam family: U2 spliceosomal RNA
About the family: U2 is a small nuclear RNA (snRNA) component of the spliceosome (involved in pre-mRNA splicing).
Source: Ensembl
GAGACUUCUUGGCCUUUCGGCUAAGAUCAAGUGUAGUAUCUGUUCUUAUCAGUUUAAUAUAAGAGAAUUCUCCACAAGCAAUUUUAUUAUUGAUGCCAAGUGAUUUUUGUAAAGUAAAUAAAU